UACGGAAGGGGCAAGCGUUGUUCGGAAUCAUUGGGCGUAAAGGGCGCGUAGGUGGUUCUGUAUGUCUACCGUGAAAGCGUACGGCUCAACCGUAUUUUGUCGGUAGAAACUGCAGGACUUGAGGCUGGGAGGGGCUGGUGGAAUUCCCUGUGUAGCGAUGAAAUGCGUAGAGAUGGGGGAGAACACUCGUGGCGAAGGCGGCCAGCUAGACCAGUUCUGACACUGAGGCGCGACAGCGUGGGGAGCAAACAGG
Molecule: ribosomal RNA, 253 nt
Filed under: uncultured bacterium
Lineage: Bacteria
Description: partial 16S ribosomal RNA
Rfam family: Bacterial small subunit ribosomal RNA
Source: RNAcentral